AGUAUUAAAAUAUGCUUCACUGUCAAAUAGUGAUUAUAUCAAAGCUCUAGCUAUAAUGGCAUCUAAAAAACAUCAUGAUUGGAAAGCUUAUUAUGCAUGCAAGCUUUUGUGCUCGCUUCUGCGACAAGGGGGGAAACAGAAACGUUCUGCUCCAGAAGUAGCCAAUGAAAUCAUUCGGAUAUGCAGUGCUGAGCAUGGACUGCAAGAUGUUGCAGAAAAGUUGGAGUCCCCUUAUCCGGUAAUUUUAAUACAGGGGAUUGAGGG
Non-coding RNA from Hydra vulgaris (swiftwater hydra), 264 nucleotides. Lineage: Eukaryota; Metazoa; Cnidaria; Hydrozoa; Anthoathecata; Hydridae. The record is from RefSeq and is a predicted model, not a curated record.